RNAcentral lists this ribosomal RNA (502 nucleotides) under uncultured bacterium. Its description in RNAcentral is "bacterial SSU rRNA". It matches the Rfam family "Bacterial small subunit ribosomal RNA", at positions 34 to 514 of the family's 1533-position model. The record is from RNAcentral.
CGUUAGCGGCAGGCUUAACACAUGCAAGUCGAGCGAGAAAGGGGCUUCGGCUCCGAGUAAAGCGGCGGACGGGUGCGUAACACGUGGAUAAUCUGCCUCGUGGCGGGGGACAACAGUCCGAAAGGACUGCUAAUACCGCAUGUCAGGUCGGAAACUCCGGUUUCUGACGAAAAAGAGGGGCGUCCGCAAGGAGCUCUCACCACGAGAUGAGUCCGCGUCCCAUCAGCUAGUUGGCGGUGUAAUGGACCACCAAGGCUUAGACGGGUAGCUGGUCUGAGAGGAUGACCAGCCACACUGGGACUGAGACACGGCCCAGACUCCUACGGGAGGCAGCAGUGGGGAAUAUUGGACAAUGGGCGAAAGCCUGAUCCAGCCAUGCCGCGUGAGUGAUGAAGGCCUUCGGGUCGUAAAGCUCUGUGGGGAGGGACGAAAAAGCGUGACCUAAUACGUCUCGCCUUGACGGUACCUCCUUAGCAAGCACCGGCUAACUCCGUGCCAGCAG